CAGUCGUGAGGAAGGCGGCGUCGUUAAUAGCGGCGUUGUUUGACGUUAGCGACAGAAGAAAGCACCGGCUAACUCCGUGCCAGCAGCCGCGGUAAUACGGAGGGUGCGAGCGUUAAUCGGAAUUACUGGGCGUAAAGCGCAUGCAGGUGGUUUGUUAAGUCAGAUGUGAAAGACCCGGGGCGUCAACCUCGGAAUUGCAUUUGAAACUAGGCAGACUAGAGUACUGUAGAGGGGGGUAGGAAUUUCAGGUGUAGCGGUGAAAUGCGUAGAGAUCUGAAGGAAUACCGGUGGCGAAGGCGGCCCCCUCGGACAGAUACUGACACUCAGAUGCGAAAGCGUGGGGAGCAAACAGGAUUAGAUACCCUGGUAG
Molecule: ribosomal RNA, 370 nt
Filed under: uncultured bacterium
Lineage: Bacteria
Description: bacterial SSU rRNA
Rfam family: Bacterial small subunit ribosomal RNA
Source: RNAcentral